RNAcentral lists this unclassified non-coding RNA (203 nucleotides) under uncultured Lepiota. RNAcentral's name for it is "sequence contains ITS2". Lineage: Eukaryota; Fungi; Basidiomycota; Agaricomycetes; Agaricales; Agaricaceae. The record is from RNAcentral.
AAUUCUCAAACCCAUCAGCUUUUGUUGUUGGGCUUUGGAUGUGGAGGUUUUGCUGGCCUUUGUGUAAGGUCAGCUCCUCUGAAAUACAUUAGCGGAACCGUUUGCGAUCCGUCACAGGUGUGAUAAUUAUCUACGCCAGUGGAUUGCUCUCUGUCUAAGUUCAGCUUCUAAUCGUCCUUUUACAAGGACAACCAUUACUGAAU